RNAcentral lists this unclassified non-coding RNA (318 nucleotides) under uncultured fungus. RNAcentral's name for it is "partial contains 5.8S ribosomal RNA and internal transcribed spacer 2". The stretch from base 1 to 133 matches the Rfam family "5.8S ribosomal RNA", at positions 22 to 154 of the family's 154-position model. Lineage: Eukaryota; Fungi. The record is from RNAcentral.
UGGUUCUGGCAUNGAUGAAGAACGCAGCGAAAUGCGAUAAGUAAUGUGAAUUGCAGAAUUCAGUGAAUCAUCGAAUCUUUGAACGCACAUUGCGCCCCCUGGUAUUCCGGGGGGCAUGCCUGUUCGAGCGUCAUUACAACCCUCAAGCAUUGCUUGGUAUUAGGCUCCGCUGCUCACCCGGCGGGCCUUAAAACCAGUGGCGGUGCCGUCGAGGCCCUGAGCGCAGUAAAUAUCCUCGCUAUAGGGACCCGGCGGACGCUGGCCAUCAACCCCCAACUUUCUAAGGUUGACCUCGGAUCAGGUAGGGAUACCCGCUGA